UGCAGUCGAACGGAACUGUUUUGAAGAUUUCUUCGGAAUGAAUUUGAUUUAGUUUAGUGGCGGACGGGUGAGUAACGCGUGAGUAACCUGCCUUCAAGGGGGGGAUAACAUUCUGAAAAGAAUGCUAAUACCGCAUGAUAUAUCGGAAUCACAUGAUUUUGAUAUCAAAGAUUUUAUCGCUUGAAGAUGGACUCGCGUCCGAUUAGUUAGUUGGUGAGGUAACGGCUCACCAAGACCGCGAUCGGUAGCCGGACUGAGAGGUUGAACGGCCACAUUGGGACUGAGACACGGCCCAGACUCCUACGGGAGGCAGCAGUGGGGGAUAUUGCGCAAUGGGGGCAACCCUGACGCAGCAACGCCGCGUGAAGGAUGAAGGUUUUCGGAUUGUAAACUUCUUUUAUUAAGGACGAAAAUUGACGGUACUUAAUGAAUAAGCUCCGGCUAACUACGUGCCAGCAGCCGCGGUAAUACGUAGGGAGCAAGCGUUGUCCGGAUUUACUGGGUGUAAAGGGUGCGUAGGCGGCUUUGCAAGUCAGAUGUGAAAUCUAUGGGCUCAACCCAUAAACUGCAUUUGAAACUGUAGAGCUUGAGUGAAGUAGAGGCAGGCGGAAUUCCCCGUGUAGCGGUGAAAUGCGUAGAGAUGGGGAGGAACACCAGUGGCGAA
Molecule: ribosomal RNA, 664 nt
Filed under: uncultured bacterium
Lineage: Bacteria
Description: bacterial SSU rRNA
Rfam family: Bacterial small subunit ribosomal RNA
Source: RNAcentral